RNAcentral lists this transfer RNA (62 nucleotides) under Holotrichia parallela (large black chafer). Its description in RNAcentral is "tRNA-Cys". Lineage: Eukaryota; Metazoa; Arthropoda; Insecta; Coleoptera; Scarabaeidae. The record is from RNAcentral.
AGCCUUAUAGUUUUAAGAAUGUCAAAUUGCAAAUUUGAGGGGGGGGGGGACCUCUAAGGCUU